Non-coding RNA from Phrynosoma platyrhinos (Desert horned lizard), 72 nucleotides. Lineage: Eukaryota; Metazoa; Chordata; Lepidosauria; Squamata; Phrynosomatidae. The record is from the annotation of a GenBank genome assembly.
GUCAGUGUGGUGUAGUGGUUUGAGCAUUGGACUACAAAUCUGGAGUCCAGAGUUCAAAUCCCUGCUUAAAAA